UCUUGAAGGUAAAAUAUAUUGUGACAGGCUUGAAUAAAACUUGUAACAAGAUUUAACAGAAAAUAUACAAAGUUGAACAUAAAAUAUCCAAGAUAUUAAACUACAUGGAUCGCAAAACAAGUGUAUUUAUCAAUUAUCGAAUCCAAAAUAAUAAAGAUGGAUAAGCAUCCUGACCUCUAGAAAUUACUUACAAAAAUAUGAAAUAUUAUUUGAAAAUACCAUACUUAUUAAUUACAUAAUCAGUUCAGGUGUUCUCUUAAUUGUAGAGGAAAUUAUGAUAACAAAUAGAUGACAUUGAAUAAACAAAAGACACAAGUAAGAAGGGACUGAUAUUAGGUAGUUCUAGAGAAGUGGUGUUACCCAUACCACUCUUGUACUUUUUCUCGCUUGCGGAUACGAUCCGGGCGACGACCACCUCACGCAAGCGUGUCGUGGAGUCUAUCAGGUAUGCUUUCUGACAAUUAAGUACACCUAGUCAUCCUACCAAGAUUUGAUGCUAAUGAACUGCUACAAAUUCAAAUUUUUCUUUGUAUUGUUUUUUGUUAAUCCUGAGGUUCUUCAAACAGCUUGAUGCCUGGGGAGAGGAUGGAGAGGUUCUGCAAAGUGCAAAUCAUUAUGCCUUCAGAAAGUUUUCUAGCAAAGUUGUAUGGUGAAUUGCUCGCAACACCUUAACCUCUCGCCUAUAUGUAGACGGUAAUCUUGGUACAAUUGCACGCCUUCGGAAGUCUGCGUUGAAUGAACACCAACGACACCUCGACUCCUCGUUUAUAUGUAAGCGAUAAUCUUGGUACAAUCAACGAUUGAUGCAGUAGAAAACGCUAUACACAACUAUGUAUUGUUGUAUGAUAAGUCGAUAAUGAAUCUCACAGAAAACUAUGAACAAUUUAGGAGUUCUCAAAAAACCAAAGAAUAUAAUAAUUCUCACAAGUUGUAUUGAAUAAUAAUAAUGUAUUGAAUUACAUUCAUAAAACUUAUUUAUACUAGCUAUGGAACCCUAGAAUCCAUAAAAGGUAAUAACAAUCGACUUGGAAUCAAAAUCCUAUCUAAAAGUGUCUAAUUACAAUAAAAAUCAGAAAAUAUAUUGAAAAUAUAAAGUUUAUGAAG
This 1104-nucleotide long non-coding RNA is filed under the name Panax ginseng (ginseng). Its description in RNAcentral is "long non-coding RNA (PGIN_LNC005382)". The record is from RNAcentral. Lineage: Eukaryota; Viridiplantae; Streptophyta; Magnoliopsida; Apiales; Araliaceae.